AGCGAACGCUGGCGGCAGGCUUAACACAUGCAAGUCGAACGCACCUUCGGGUGAGUGGCAGACGGGUGAGUAACACGUGGGAACGUGCCCUUCGGUUCGGAAUAACUCAGGGAAACUUGAGCUAAUACCGGAUACGCCCUCAGGGGGAAAGGUUUACUGCCGAAGGAUCGGCCCGCGUCUGAUUAGCUAGUUGGUGGGGUAACGGCCUACCAAGGCGACGAUCAGUAGCUGGUCUGAGAGGAUGAUCAGCCACACUGGGACUGAGACACGGCCCAGACUCCUACGGGAGGCAGCAGUGGGGAAUAUUGGACAAUGGGCGAAAGCCUGAUCCAGCCAUGCCGCGUGAGUGAUGAAGGCCUUAGGGUUGUAAAGCUCUUUUAUCCGGGAAGAUAAUGACUGUACCGGAAGAAUAAGCCCCGGCUAACUUCGUGCCAGCAGCCGCCGCGGUAACAC
This 453-nucleotide ribosomal RNA is filed under the name uncultured bacterium. RNAcentral describes it as "bacterial SSU rRNA". It matches the Rfam family "Bacterial small subunit ribosomal RNA", at positions 29 to 526 of the family's 1533-position model. The record is from RNAcentral.